RNA transcript from Corapipo altera (White-ruffed manakin), 6115 nucleotides. It is a transcript of the gene named tectonin beta-propeller repeat containing 2, with no coding region annotated. The record is from RefSeq and is a predicted model, not a curated record. Lineage: Eukaryota; Metazoa; Chordata; Aves; Passeriformes; Pipridae. The transcript is spliced from 22 exons.
GGGGCCCGGGCAGCGCCGCUCCCGCCGCCCCUCCGUGACGGGCCGCCCCGCGCUCCGGAGCGGACAGCUGCUUAGCACAAGCUGAUUUGCCCUGUACGGCUGUUAUGUACUUCAGAAUAACUGUGGCUGAGUGAACAGAGGGAACGUACACAUCCAGUUCCAAAAUCUACCUGAGAAAAUAGAUUAUAUCCCCUGUUUGCCUUGGAUUAAUGAGAUUUCCUUAUGUGGUCGAGUAGAUGUGUUUAUUUCAGCCUUAAAAUUGCUGGUGGAAAUCCUUGCUAUGGCAUCUGUGGCUUCACCGGUUGUAUUUAAGGAAUUUUGUCCCUUAUAUUAUCUCCUCAAUGCCAUUCCUACAAAGAUCCAAAAAGGCUUUCGCUCUAUUGUGGUGUAUCUCACAGCACUUGAUACCAAUGGAGACUACAUUGCUGUGGGGAGCAGCAUUGGGAUGCUUUAUCUCUACUGCAGACAAUUAAACCAGAUGAAAAAAUACAAUUUUGAGGGGAAGUGUGAAUCUAUUACUUUUGUAAAGCUGCUGAGUUGUUUUGAUGAUCUGGUUGCUGUUGGUACAGCCUCAGGUCGGGUUGCAGUUUUUCAGCUUGUGUCUUCAUUACCUGGAAGAAACAAACAGCUCCGGAGAUUUGAUGUUGCUGGCAUCCACAAAAGUAGCAUUACAGCUUUAGCUUGGAGUCCCAAUGGAAUGAAAUUAUUCUCUGGAGAUGACAAAGGAAAGAUUGUCUACUCUGCCCUAGACCUAGACCAGGGUAUUUGCAACUCCAGCCUUGUAUUGGAAGAGCCAUCUUCGAUUGUCCAGUUGGAUUACAACCAGAAGGUGCUGCUUGUCUCUACUUUACAACGCACUCUACUUUUUUACACAGAAGAGAAAUCCGUCAACCAAGUUGGAACACAGCCCAGAAAAAACACUGGCAAGUUUGGAGCAUGUUUUAUACCUGGCCUGUGUAAACAGAGUGACCUGACGCUAUUUGCUGCCAGACCUGGGCUUCGUCUCUGGAAGUCUGAUGUUCACGGAACUGUUCAGGCCACAUUCAUAUUAAAAGAUGUAUUUGCUGGAGGGAUAAAAACUUUUGAACUGUAUCCUCGUUUGGAACCACCUGACAGGGGAAGUUACAGCUCUCCAGAGAAACACUUUGGGCUUGUUUCGUGCUUUUUCCGAGAAGGAUGGGUGCUGACCUGGAAUGAAUACAGCAUCUACUUGCUAGACACUGUGAACCAGGCUUUGAUUGGUGGCUUGGAAGGAUAUGGUGAUAUUGUGUCUGUGUCCUGUACCAACAAUGAGAUUUUUCUCUUAAAGGGAGAUAGAGACAUAAUAAGAAUUUCAAGUAGACCUGAAGGACUGUCAUCAAUAGAUACGAGUCCUAAAUUGCUGACCCCAUCAUCAGUAGUUUCAUCUGUAUCAUCCAGCCCUUCAGUGGAAACAGAUAAAAAAAUGGUUGCUUCCCUUUUGGUUACUGGUGAUAAAAAUGGUUCUUCGGUGAAAGAUGAUCUGGAAACUCCAACGCUGUCUGAGAAAAGUUUUGAUAGAAUGGGAGACUUGAGCAAUGAAAUGAGAAAAAGGGGCUGCUCUGUAGUAAGUGAAUCACGAAGCAGGAGCAGUUCUGUGAACUCUGUGGACAGUGGCUCGAGCUUUAUGAUGUGUGCAGACCAACUUUCAGAAGCUCAGAGAGAAGGUCAACUUUCUUCACAACGGUUCAGCACCAUCAGCUCUGAAGAUUUUGAUCAAGAACUCAUUGUAAAGCCAAUUAAAGUAAAAAAGAAAAGAAAGAAGAAACAGGAAAGUGGGACAAGGAAAAACCACAGCUCUCUGGAAGGCACACCAAUUUAUGAGCGUCAGCUUUCUGGUGACAGUCCCCAUUCAUUGAAUGCAGACUCCUUUUCCAUGACCUCCAGCAUAAUGAGUGGCAGCAUUGAUCAUUUGAGCACUGGAUCUCCAGAUCAGGAAAGCAUGUUCAGUAUGGAGUCCCAUACAAUCUUGCAAGAAGAUAACGGUUCAGAAACUUUCAGUGUCCUACAGUCUCCUGAGUCAGCAACUGUACUAAUUAAUGAAGAAAAUGGAGAGGUGGUUGAUUUGCAGAAACUUCCAAACAGUGACAGUGGCAUGGGUACUUCAGCUAUUAUAGAUACUUUGACAUCUGCAUCUCCUCUGAUCCUCACAGAAGACUUGACAAGCAGUAUUGAUGGUGAAUAUAAUGGUAGUGUGGUUUCUGCAAGCAAAGAAUGCUGUCCUGGAAAGCUGAGCCAAGAGGAGGAGCAGGAUUUUCCUAUGUUGUGUAAAAUAGAUGAAGAUUUGGAUAAAAUGAAGCUGCAGGAUACUGAAAAGUCUUUUGAAGGGCCAGACCUUACAGACCAGACGUUUUUGGAACGUGACCAUACAUUUGGUGUUCAGACAUCACUGACACCAAAGGAAAGUGAUGAAAUUGGUAGGGAAGACCAGCAGGAGCUCUCCCUAAUCCACAGCGCUCUGUCAGACCCUUCUGCGCUCCGCUUUGACAUCUCUAACGAUGUUUGUUCAGAUAACGCUUCCAUUUCUGGAUGGAAUUUUGAAAGUGCAAUCAAAGCUAAAUCUAGUGCUAGCACUGCUGAAUGGGUAGCAGACACUCAUGAAAGUAAGACUGAGAAAUCUGCCUCAAGUGAUGAAGAGGAUAUUUAUGGCCAUGGAUUACCGUAUUCAUCCUCGGAGACCAGCAUGCCUGAAGCUGGUGCUGUGCCUGGCUCACAGGAUGUGGCCAAGAUAAGCGCCGAUGAAAUGGUGCUGUUAAAAUCUGAUCAGUUUGCAGAGAGCUGGAUGGGGUACUCUGGCCCUGGUUAUGGCAUCCUGAGCCUGGUUGUUUCAGAAAAGUACAUUUGGUGCCUGGACUACCGAGGCAGCCUGUACUGCAGUGCCCUUCCUGCGGCCGGGCUGCGCUGGCAGAAGUUCGAGGAUGGAGUCCAGCAAGUGGCAGUGUCCCCAUCAGGGGCUCUUCUCUGGAAGAUUGAGCAGAAGACUAACAAAGCCUUUGCUUGUGGAAAAGUAACUAUAAAAGGAAAACGCCACUGGUAUGAGGCUUUACCCCAGGCUGUAUUUGUAGCUUUAAGUGAUGACACCGCCUGGAUUAUCAGAACAAAUGGAGAUCUGUAUCUGCAAACAGGCCUGAGUGUGGAUCGUCCUUGUGCCCGAGCAGUAAAGGUUGACUGCCCUUAUCCACUGUCACAGGUUACAUCCAGAAAUAAUGUAGUGUGGGCCCUGAGUGAACAGCGGGCCCUGCUGUACCGGGAGGGAGUGCGCAGCUUCUGUCCUGAGGGAGAGCAGUGGAAGAGUGAUAUUGUCAGUGAAAUGCAAGCUUUGGAACCAGUGUGCAUAACCCUUGGAGAUCAGCAGACAUUAUGGGCUUUGGAUAUCCAUGGCAAUCUCUGGUUCAGAACUGGUAUAGUUUCAAAGAAACCACAAGGAGAUGAUAACCAUUGGUGGCAAGUGAGCAUCACUGAUUACGUAGUGUUUGACCAGUGCAGCCUGUUCCAGACAAUAAUCCAGGCAACUCAUACAGUGGCAACAGCAGCUCAGGCACCUGUGGAGAAGGUGGCUGAUAAGCUUCGAAUGGCAUUUUGGUCACAGCAGCUUCAGUGUCAGCCCAGCCUCCUCGGAGUUAAUGGCAGUGGAGUCUGGAUCUCUUCAGGCAAAAAUGAAUUCCAUGUAGCAAAGGGAAACUUAAUAGGCACUUAUUGGAAUAAUAUUGUGCCUCGUGGUACUGCUUCUGCCACAAAGUGGAUUUUUGUGUUGGCUUCCACAGCUUCAUCUAAAGAAGGAAGCUUUCUGUGGCUGUGCCAAAGCAACAAGGAUCUGUUUUGUGUCAGUGAUCAGAAUCCUCAGUUUCGUCCUUCUACAGUCCAGCUGCCACCAGAGGCUGAGAUGGUGCACUACUCUGCCUGCCAGGAUGCCAUUUGGGGUUUGGAUAGUCUUGGGCAGAUAUUUAUCAGAACACUUUCAUCCAGCUGCCCAACAGGGAUGCAUUGGACAAAACUGGAUCUCACCCAACUAGGUGCUGUAAAGCUGAUCAGCUUGACCUGUGGAAAUCAGCAUGUUUGGGCCUGUGACACCAAUGGUGGCAUUUAUUUCCGUGUAGGAACUCAACCUCUUAACCCAAGUUUGAUGCUUCCUGCGUGGAUAAUGAUUGAGCCACCUAUACAGCCAGUAGGAAUCAACUUGGUCAGCAUUCAUUCAAGUCCAAAUGAUCAGAUGUUGUGGGCAAUUGAUAGCAAAUGGAAUGUCCAUGUGCGAGUUGGAAUUACAGAUGAAAUGCCUGUAGGCACUGACUGGGAACAUGUACCAGGUUUGCAGGCUUGCCAGCUGGCCAUAAGUACAAGGACCGUUUGGGCACGGUGUCCCAAUGGAGAUGUAGCUCGUCGGUACGGCAUUACUGACAAGAAUCCUGCAGGAGACUACUGGAAGAAGAUUCCUGGAAAUGUCUCACGCUUAACAGUGACCCCUCUAGAUGAACUGUGGGCAAUCAGUACCUCAGGAUCCCUGCUCCAGCGCCUCACUAAGACCUUUAGCCAUUCCCAUAGUUUGCAGAAAAAUAAUGACACUUCUGUUUUGCUUCACCCUGAUGAUUUUGAAGAUGAAUGGGAAGUGAUAUGAAGUCUCUCAAGCUCGUGAAGCAGUGAAAAAAACAGGACAGAAUUUCUGUGAUGGAGAAGUUUGGAUUACACCUGAUAUCAGGGGGACUUUCACCCAUUUCCAUAGCCAUCAGGAAGCUGACAGAUUUUUGGGGGUAAGUCCCAGUUUGGAAUAAGAAGAGGUCGCUUGUUGGGUUUGUAGUACAAAGCAGGAAUGUAAAGGCAGCUUUCAUAAUUCCUGUUGUGCUGUAUUUGUGCCUCCAGCCAGUGCUUUAACAUUUGGACUCAUAUUGUUUUGAGUACCAAACUUAGAUGUAUUAAGAGAAAAAGUGGUAAUAGAAUUACCUAUAUAUCCCGUUAAAAAUUGUGAUAUUGUGAGAAAAUACUUAACAAUAUUCUGAUUUUUAGCUAUGUUAGCUAAAUUUUGAAGUGUCUUAUAUUUAACAGAGGUUGCAGCAGGAGUAUGUGAUGAACUGGGAAGUAACUUAAGUUAAUAAUUGCAGCUUAUUUUUCUUUAUACUAAAUCUUCUUUGAAAGAUACCUCAUCUUUUUUAAGCAAUAGAACUAUAGAUGAGAGAACCUGAGUUCACUAUGUAGGCAGAGGAGUUAUUUUGUGUUUGUUCUAAGCUUAUAAAUCAUCAGAAUGUUUUAAGCAGCUGUUAACCAAUACUGUAAAAGAGCCAGCUUCAGAAAAGGCCAAGAGUUGACAAGUGGGGAUGUUUCUGUUUUGAGAACUUAAUACACACGGAAAAGGAUGUGUUUUCUUUUGAACCUCUGUUCUCUUUCAGAACAGUUCAUGCGUGUACUGCACUAAACUUGGAACAAACAUGGUGCAAGGUGAGAAUGUGAAUCAGUGGAGAGAGAACCAAGUUAUGUCACCUUUUUUUUAGUAGCACUUGUGAUAUUGGCUGUGAGUUCUCAGCCUGAUCUCAGUCUUACAGGGAGGACAGAUUUGUUUCCCUUUUACAGAUGAUAUGUUCGCUUCUUUCUUGUUCAUCUGUAUACAGAGAUUACCCCAGAGGGUUUUUUUAGCCUGUCUGGCAGUGGAUGGUAAUGGAAUCAGCUUGUGAAGUAACCCAGUAUGUUUUAUGCAAGCAUAGCUUGGUGUCUUGAGGACCCUAAAGAAGCUGAAAUUCAGCUUAAAAGUAUCUUGUGGCAGCUCCUGAGUCAAUCACUUUGGAGAAAGGACACGAGUACUUCUCUGUGCCCUGCCAAGCACCAGAUGCUCAAAUACAAUGGCAUUAUUUAAUAGUGAUACUUUUGUAUUACAUUUUUCAAAGUCAUCUUAGUAAUGGUUUGAGCUUGCUAGUUGUUUAUUUACUGUAUAAUACUGUUCCUUGCUAUGGUCAUUAAUAUUAAAUUGAUGUCAAGAGCUCUUAUCAGACUACUUUUUAGGAUAGCUUAAAUAAAAUUAGGAUGGAUUUUUUUACUUUUAUUUCUGUAUUUAGGUUUUUGGUUUUGUUUGUGCUUUGAGACAAGUGCAAUAAACUAGAUUUUUAAGAAAUAA